Unclassified non-coding RNA from Pongo abelii (Sumatran orangutan), 148 nucleotides. It matches the Rfam family "Metazoan signal recognition particle RNA". Rfam says of the family: The signal recognition particle (SRP) is a universally conserved ribonucleoprotein. The record is from Ensembl. NCBI's taxonomy places the organism in Eukaryota, Metazoa, Chordata, Mammalia, Primates, Hominidae.
GCCGGGCGUGGUGGUGCACACCUGUAAUCCCAGCUACUCGGGAGGCUGAGGCAGGAGAAUUGCUUGAACCCGGGGGGCGGGGGUUGCAGUGAGCUGAGAUUGCACCACUGCACUGCAGCCUGGGUGACAGAGUGAGAAUCUGUCUCAA